RNAcentral lists this transfer RNA (77 nucleotides) under Mycoplasmataceae bacterium. RNAcentral's name for it is "tRNA-Arg". It matches the Rfam family "tRNA". Rfam says of the family: Transfer RNA (tRNA) molecules are approximately 80 nucleotides in length. The record is from RNAcentral. Lineage: Bacteria; Bacillati; Mycoplasmatota; Mollicutes; Mycoplasmatales; Mycoplasmataceae.
GCGCCCUUAGCUCAAUUGAAUAGAGUGUCUGACUUCGGAUCAGAAGGUUGGGGGUUUGACUCCCUCAGGGCGCGCCA